AUACGUAGGGGGCGAGCGUUAUCCGGAAUUAUUGGGCGUAAAGAGUACGUAGGUGGUUGCGUAAGCGCAAGGUGAAAGACCGGGGCUUAAAUUCGGUGAGCCUUGUGAACUGCGUGACUUGAGUGCAGGAGGGGAAAGUGGAAUUCCUAGUGUAGCGGUGAAAUGUGUAGAUAUUAGGAGGAACACCAGUGGCGAAGGCGACUUUCUGGACUGUAACUGACACUGAGGUACGAAAGCGUGGGGAGCAAACAGGAUUAGAUACCCUGGUAGUCCACGCCGUAAACGAUGAGCACUAGGUGUUGGCGUAGAAAUACGUCGGUGCCGAAGUUAACGCAUUAAGUGCUCCGCCUGGGGAGUACGCACGCAAGUGUGAAACUCAAAUGAAUUGACGGGG
This 394-nucleotide ribosomal RNA is filed under the name uncultured bacterium. RNAcentral describes it as "partial 16S ribosomal RNA". It matches the Rfam family "Bacterial small subunit ribosomal RNA", at positions 523 to 918 of the family's 1533-position model. The record is from RNAcentral.